CCUCCUUAAAUAUUUGAAACCUAUAAAAUUAGCUCUCUUACUCCUAUAUCUAAGUACACCCCUCUAUUUCUCUUCCUAAAUUUAUCACAAAAUCUAAACCUCACUACAUUCUUACGUCCCUCCUGUGUCCAAGAACAUUGCAAAUCUUGUUAAACCUGUGUUCUCAAACAGAAAAUUAAGUUAAAAAUAUAAGAAUAAAAAACAAAAUAUAACGAUAAAUAGUACCUCAUGUUCGUAAAGAUUUCUAAAUUGAGCGAACCUGCUAAAAAUCAAUACAACCUGCAAAAUAUUUUUAAAAUAUUGUUCAAAU
Molecule: long non-coding RNA, 310 nt
Filed under: Panax ginseng (ginseng)
Lineage: Eukaryota; Viridiplantae; Streptophyta; Magnoliopsida; Apiales; Araliaceae
Description: long non-coding RNA (PGIN_LNC010191)
Source: RNAcentral